AUGGUGGCANNAAAUCGGAGGCCCCGACUGUUUACUAAAAACACAAUUCAGAGCAAUGAUGUAAAUCAUAGUAUUCUGGAUGAAAUUUGCCCAAUGCCAUUAACAUAAAAGAGGUAAUAGGAAACUGUUACUAAUUGAAAGUCUGGUUAAUAGCGGUCUUAACUAUGAGGAUCCUAAGGUAGCAAAAUCAGUUGGCCAUUAAAUGUGGUCUGGUAUCAAUAGUGUAACGAUGGUCUCACUGUCUCUACAACUUGCUCAGUGAAAUUGAAUUACCCGUGCAGAUGCGGGU
This 289-nucleotide ribosomal RNA is filed under the name thelephoroid fungal sp. ModNC. RNAcentral's name for it is "partial large subunit ribosomal RNA". It matches the Rfam family "Bacterial large subunit ribosomal RNA", at positions 1773 to 2066 of the family's 2925-position model. Lineage: Eukaryota; Fungi; Basidiomycota; Agaricomycetes; Thelephorales; Thelephoraceae. The record is from RNAcentral.